CCUACGGGAGGCAGCAGUGGGGAAUAUUGGGCAAUGGGCGCAAGCCUGACCCAGCAACGCCGCGUGAAGGAAGAAGGCUUUCGGGUUGUCAACUUCUUUUAAGAGGGAAGAGCAGAAGACGGUACCUCUUGAAUAAGCCACGGCUAACUACGUGCCAGCAGCCGCGGUAAUACGUAGGUGGCAAGCGUUGUCCGGAGUUACUGGGUGUAAAGGGCGUGUAGCCGGGCUGACAAGUCAGAUGUGAACUUCCGGGGCUCAACCCCGGACCUGCAUUUGAAACUGUUGGUCUUGAGGAUCGGAGAGGCAGGCGGAAUUCCUAGGGGAGCGGUGAAAUGCGUAGAUAGUAGGAGGAACACCAGUGGCGAAGGCGGCCUGCUGGACGACAACGGACGGUGAGGCGCGAAAGCGUGGGGAGCAAACAGGAUUAGAGACCCCAGUAGUC
This 442-nucleotide ribosomal RNA is filed under the name uncultured bacterium. RNAcentral describes it as "partial 16S ribosomal RNA". It matches the Rfam family "Bacterial small subunit ribosomal RNA", at positions 338 to 795 of the family's 1533-position model. The record is from RNAcentral.